This 98-nucleotide transfer RNA is filed under the name Acidobacteriota bacterium. RNAcentral describes it as "tRNA-Sec". It matches the Rfam family "Selenocysteine transfer RNA". Lineage: Bacteria; Pseudomonadati; Acidobacteriota. The record is from RNAcentral.
GGAAGCGAACGGGGCCCGGUGGCCCUCCCGGUCUUCAAAACCGGUCGCUGCCCGCGUUUCGCGGGCGGGCUGGGUUCGACUCCCAGGCGCUUCCGCCA